GGACCCGCACAAGCGGUGGAUUAUGUGGAUUAAUUCGAUGCAACGCGAAGAACCUUACCUACCCUUGACAUGCUAGGAACCCUGCAGAGAUGUAGGGGUGCCCGAAAGGGAACCUAGACACAGGUGCUGCAUGGCUGUCGUCAGCUCGUGUCGUGAGAUGUUGGGUUAAGUCCCGCAACGAGCGCAACCCUUGCCAUUAGUUGCCACAUUUAGUUGGGCACUCUAAUGGGACUGCCGGUGACAAACCGGAGGAAGGUGGGGAUGACGUCAAGUCCUCAUGGCCCUUAUGGGUAGGGCUUCACACGUAAUACAAUGGCGCAUACAGAGGGCUGCAAACCCGCGAGGGGGAGCCAAUCUCACAAAGUGCGUCGUAGUCCGGAUUGCUCUCUGCAACUCGAGAGCAUGAAGUCGGAAUCGCUAGUAAUCGCGGAUCAGCAUGUCGCGGUGAAUACGUUCCCGGGUCUU
This 465-nucleotide ribosomal RNA is filed under the name uncultured bacterium. Its description in RNAcentral is "bacterial SSU rRNA". It matches the Rfam family "Bacterial small subunit ribosomal RNA", at positions 917 to 1382 of the family's 1533-position model. The record is from RNAcentral.